Molecule: non-coding RNA, 2394 nt
Organism: Macrostomum lignano
Lineage: Eukaryota; Metazoa; Platyhelminthes; Macrostomidae
Source: Rfam
UGACCUCGGAUCAGACGUGAUUACCCGCUGAAUUUAAGCAUAUUAUUAAGCGGAGGAAAAGAAACUAACAAGGAUUCCCUAGUAACGGCGAGUGAACGGGGAAGAGCCCAACACCGAAUCCCUUGGCGCAAGUCAACGGGAAAUGUGGUGUUAAGGUAGCCCUUCGUGUCAGUCUAGGCGUCUCAAGUCCACCUGAUUGUGGCUCAAGCCCAGAGAGGGUGUAAGGCCCGUAGAGACGCUCCGACUGAUUCCUGGGGUUUACCUACGAGUCGGCUUGUUUGGGAAUGCAGGCCAAAGCGGGUGGUAAACUCCAUCCAAGGCUAAAUACUGGCACGAGUCCGAUAGCGGACAAGUACCGUGAGGGAAAGUUGAAAAGAACUUUGAAGAGAGAGUUCAAUAGUACGUGAAACCGCUUAGAGGCAAACGGAUGGUGCUCAUACUGGCCUGAGGAAUUCAACUGUGACGGUGGCUGGACGAGCUGGCGUUCCGAUCUCUCUUUUGGGACGGGCGUCGGUUUGGCUAUCAGCUCCGACAUGGUGCACUUUCCUUGGUGCCUCCGCCACGACCGACGACACUGGCUACCCGCGGCUGGGGUAAGGUGACAAACUGCUUCGGCAAUUUGUGUUAUAGACCCCGGCGUCGGACAUGGUUUGGCCAGGACGUCGAGCUUGCGGCGCCCGCUCCUUGUGGGCUCGCAUGUUGGCUAGCUUGGCUGCGCCGAUGCUUGCACUGGACAACCAGUACAGGUGACGGUUGUGGUCUUGUCUCUAGUUGGCCUCUGCGAGUUUGGCGCCUAUAGUCUGUGGUGUACUUGUGGGUAGACUAUCCGACCCGUCUUGAAACACGGACCAAGGAGUCUAACAUGUGCGCGAGUCAUGGGGAUUCUACGAAACCCAAAGGCGCAGUGAAAGUAAAGGCCUGCUUCUCGUAGGCUGAGGUGGGAUCUCGUGCAUCGCGAUUGGCGAGCGCACCACCGGCCCGUCCUAUCUGUCUCUGUCAGUGUGGGCGGCGCAAGAGCGUACACGUUGGGACCCGAAAGAUGGUGAACUAUGCUUGCGCAGCUCGAAGUCAGUGGAAACACUGAUGGAGGAGCGCAGCGUUUCUGACGUGCAAAUCGAUCGUCAAACGUGAGUAUAGGGGCGAAAGACUAAUCGAACCAUCUAGUAGCUGGUUCCCUCCGAAGUUUCCCUCAGGAUAGCUGGCACUCGGGAAACAGUUUUAUCCGGUAAAGCGAAUGAUUAGAGGCAUUGGGGUCGAAACGACCUCGACCUAUUCUCAAACUUUAAAUGGGUAAGAUGCUCGUCUCGCUUAAUUGGAGGCGGGCUUCACCUCUCUAUAAACGUGAAUGUGAGUGCCCAGUGGGCCAUUUUUGGUAAGCAGAACUGGCGCUGUGGGAUGAACCAAACGCGCGUUAAGGCGCCCAAUGCGGACGCUCAUGAGACACCACAAAAGGUGUUGGUCGAUACUGACAGCAGGACGGUGGCCAUGGAAGUCGGAACCGCUAAGGAGUGUGUAACAACUCACCUGCCGAAUCAACCAGCCCUGAAAAUGGAUGGCGCUGGAGCGUCGGGCCUAUACCGUGCCGUUGGGGCGAAGCAGACAAAUAAUCUGUGUGGAUGUCCAACGAGUAGGAGGGUCGCCGUGGUGAGCGCAGAAGGUGCGGCCGUGAGGCCGGCUGGAGCCGCCACGGGCGCAGAUCUUGGUGGUAGUAGCAAUUACUCAAGUGAGAACCUUGAGGACUGAAGUGGAGAAGGCCAUGUGAACAGCAGUUGAACAUGGGUCAGGCGGUCCUAAGCGAUCGGGUAACUCCGUACGUACUAGACGAGGGUGACAACUAUCACUGAUAAUACUGUGAAGUGUUAUAGCCCUCCGGAGCGAAAGGGAAUCGUGUUAAUAUUCACUGCGACCCCUUACCGUGGAGAUCGCCCUUUCGGCGCAAUGUGAUCGGGGGGGCAAGCUGCGGUAACUAGCGAAGGAAGGCGAGACACAGAGACGUGUCGGCUGAGGCGGCGGAACCCGGGUGAAGAGUUCUCUGUUUCUUUGUGUAAGGAGCGUACCCGUACUGGGAAUCGCUUGUACCCCAGCGUCCGGAGAUAUGGGUUUUGCACGCGGUGCAUGAUAGCGGGCGUGGCUUCCGUAAAGCAGCGGCGAGCGGGUCUUGCGCUGUCCGGUGCACUCCUAGUCGGCCCUUGAAAAUCUGUGGGAGACAGUGGUGAUUUUCACGGUAGGCCGUACCAUAUCCGCAGCAGGUCUCCAAGGUGAACAGUCGCCUCUAGUCCUAGAACAAUGUAGGUAAGGGAAGUCGGCAAAAUGGAUCCGUAACUUCGGGAAAAGAGGAUUGGAUGCUCUGAGGGCUGGGUCGGAUGGGCUGGCGUAAGAAGAAACUGUUCCGGU